UUCCACUCUUUCCCACAGAAGGCAUAGCCCGGCUGGAGCCUGUUGAUAUGUGUGUAUGCGUUUGAAUGUGUGUGUUUGUCCUCACUGACACAAGGACGACCUGAACCACUUUCACCUGUACUUGUCAGUCAGCCUGUCACCGAGACCCAGAUGAGGAAGACCGAAGAAGGAGGAAGGACGGUGCGAAAGCUUGGACAGAGGACAGAAGGUAACGAGGAGAACCAAAAGCAACGUUGAAGAGGUAAAAGAUACACGUGGAACACCUGCUCUCUGCUGUAGGUUCGGAUGGCAGCGUCAGCGAGACGUAUUUAAAACGCUUCUCUCGGCUUUGUAAAACCUAGACACACAGUCGGUUUUGAUUAAUGACGAAAAGGAAAGCGCACACUCAAACACCGGGGAAGGUUUCGGAGCGCGUGGAAUCACUCCUUCCCUCCCUCUUCCUUUCCUCUGGCACAUCCCCAUCAUUCAGCUGGGCAGCAGCAGCUAAUAACCAACAAAUAAUGACAAGGAUGAAAACACAGGACAUCAGGGGCAAGAGGGAAGGCCAGCCGAAUCCGGGGAUGGUGCUGCUCGUAAAGAGACGCCUGGAAUAAUGGGAAAGGAAUGCCGUGCAACGACUCCCACGGGACCGGGUCCAGCCGAAGGCCCUCUGGCUCGCCGACAACAAACGGGAACGCUUGAGGAGAGCAGGGUGCACACAUAAGGGCUUUAACAGCACAUCCCAACCGCCCCCCCACCCUUCCCCGCCCCUCAAAACACACACAUUCACAGAUCCCCCCCUCAACCCUCCCCUCCUCCCCCUUCCUGUGCCGACCUACUGGAGUCGGCUGUUGUUGUUGGCUGCCUGCCGCUUUCGGAAGAAGCUCUCUCUCCACUCCAUCUUUCUUUCUUUCAUGCUGCAAAGGAAUUGCUGAUAAAAUGUCAUCUUCAGGGAGCUCUUAUGAAAAAGUUAUUGCCAUCCACUUUUGCCCGUAUUAAAUAAUCUUGCACCUCGUCUGCUCUCUACAUCUUCAGAUAUAUUCACUGUUCAGUGACGAUCCCAUGACAUCCUUAUUUCCUCUGUCGCUCUCUGUGUGGCUUUGCGUUUUCAUCGGCAGACCAAUCAUUUAUUCUCUGCCCCAAAGGGGAGUGCUUACUGUCAACUCCUUACAACCAUAUUCAUAUGUACAUUUUUUAGCUUUCAAAAAGGAAAAUGUUCUUUUCAUGUUCUACCUUUGAACUCAAUUAUUCAUGUGUGUGUGUGUGUGUGUGUCUCUGGGUCUUGAGCGGCAUAUAUGAGCCAGAUAUAGGAAAACCAGUCGCCUCUUUUUCAUUUUGCUUCUGCAAGCAGAGGUGCUGUCUGAUACAUGAGGUGCCUGACACAUGCACAGCUUGUAUAAGGAGACUCUGAUUCCACAAGACACGCACGCCCAUGUGUAUGUUAGGACACAGAAUAUCCUCUCAUGACUCACGUGGAUUCCUGGGGUGCGUAGGUUGCGCGAGGAGCCGUGUUAAGAGUCAGCAGUCGGACAAGUUGAAGGGGAGAGACGUUCGGUGAGGAUGGAGGGAGGAUGGGGUCCUGAUCUCAGGCCGGAGUCGCCUUUUUGCUCCUUAAAUCACAAUCGGGGUCUCCUGGGCCAAAAAUGUUCCCACUGCGAACCUUUUAAUUUUCAGGAGAUGCUCCAAAACACAGUGGGGAAACAGACAUCCUCUUCAGAGAGUAAAUUUCAAUACUUAAAAUGAUAGAAAGUAGAUAUAAAAUGUCUACGCUUACGUUUUAGACGGUAUAUAAUUCAGUGCAGUCAUAACUAUAUGAAAUAAGGAAGAGAGAUGAUCCGGCUCAGUGAAAAAUGUCUUUUUAAAACACUUUUGUGUUCACUCUUGCAACUUUAUGUGAAGCAUUCUCACAGUCAAUUAACAUAUAUGUGUGAGUUGCAUGAUUUCUACAGCCGUCAUGUAGAGGCUUGGGAUUUAUAAUCUAUAACACUGAAGUUAAAAACCACUAUUAUUUGUGACUGCAGUUUUUUUUUUUUUGUCCAGCAAGUAAACGACAUGGGCAA
Long non-coding RNA from Poecilia latipinna (sailfin molly), 2039 nucleotides. RefSeq lists it as uncharacterized. NCBI's taxonomy places the organism in Eukaryota, Metazoa, Chordata, Actinopteri, Cyprinodontiformes, Poeciliidae. The transcript has 2 exons. The record is from RefSeq and is a predicted model, not a curated record.